GACGAACGCUGGCGGCGUGCCUAAUACAUGCAAGUUGAGCGCUGAAGGUUGGUACUUGUACCAAAUGGAUGAGCAGCGCACGGGUGAGUAACGCGUGGGGAAUCUGCCUUUGAGCGGGGGACAACAUUUGGAAACGAAUGCUAAUACCGCAUAAAAACUUUAAACACAAGUUUUAAGUUUGAAAGAUGCAAUUGCAUCACUCAAAGAUGAUCCCUCGUUGUAUUAGCUAGGUGGUGGGGUAAAGGCUUACCAAGGCGAUGAUACAUAGCCGACCUGAGAGGGUGGUCGGCCACAUUGGGACGGGGACACGGCCCAAACGACUACGGGAGGCAGCAGUAGGGAAUCUGAGGCAAUGGACGAAAGUCUGACCGAGCAACGCCGCGUGAGUGAAGAAGGGUUUCGGAUCGGAAAACUCGGUUGGUAGAUAAGAACGUUGGUGAGAGUGGAAAGCGCAUCAAGUGACGGUAACUACACAGAAAGGGACGGCUAACUACGUG
Molecule: ribosomal RNA, 497 nt
Filed under: uncultured bacterium
Lineage: Bacteria
Description: partial 16S ribosomal RNA
Rfam family: Bacterial small subunit ribosomal RNA
Source: RNAcentral